UCUCUGGUAGUAUAUCGGACAGUACACCCGCCUGUCACGCGGGAAAGCGGGGUUCGACUCCCCGCCAGAGAG
This 72-nucleotide transfer RNA is filed under the name Suillus placidus. It matches the Rfam family "tRNA". From Rfam's summary of the family: Transfer RNA (tRNA) molecules are approximately 80 nucleotides in length. Their secondary structure includes four short double-helical elements and three loops (D, anti-codon, and T loops). Further hydrogen bonds mediate the characteristic L-shaped molecular structure. tRNAs have two regions of fundamental functional importance: the anti-codon, which is responsible for specific mRNA codon recognition, and the 3' end, to which the tRNAs corresponding amino acid is attached (by aminoacyl-tRNA synthetases). tRNAs cope with the degeneracy of the genetic code in two manners: having more than one tRNA (with a specific anti-codon) for a particular amino acid; and 'wobble' base-pairing, i.e. permitting non-standard base-pairing at the 3rd anti-codon position. Lineage: Eukaryota; Fungi; Basidiomycota; Agaricomycetes; Boletales; Suillaceae. The record is from Rfam by way of RNAcentral.